AUCGAACGCUGGCGGAAUGCUUUACACAUGCAAGUCGAACGGCAGCACGGACUUCGGUCUGGUGGCGAGUGGCGAACGGGUGAGUAAUGUAUCGGAACGUGCCCAGUCGUGGGGGAUAACGUAGUGAAAAUUACGCUAAUACCGCAUUGCAUCUAUGGAUGAAAGCGGGGAAGCGCAAGCCCUAGCGCCAUUGGAGCGGCCGAGAUCAGAUUAGGUAGUUGGGGGGGUAAAGGCCCUCCAAGCCAACGAUCUGUAGCUGGUCUGAGAGGACGACCAGCCACACUGGAACUGAGACACGGUCCAAACUCCUACGGUAGGCAGCAGUGGGGAAUUUUGGACAAUGUGCGAAAGCCUGAUCCAGCCAUUCCGCGUGCAGGAUGAAGGCCCUCGGGUUGUAAACUGCUUUUGUACAGAACGAAAAGGUUUCUACUAAUACUAGGAGCUCAUGACGGUACUGUAAGAAUAAGCACCGGCUAACUACGUGCCAGCCGCCGCAGUAA
RNAcentral lists this ribosomal RNA (500 nucleotides) under uncultured bacterium. Its description in RNAcentral is "partial 16S ribosomal RNA". It matches the Rfam family "Bacterial small subunit ribosomal RNA", at positions 30 to 523 of the family's 1533-position model. The record is from RNAcentral.